GUAUUCAGCAUCCUUACUUCGUCUGAGCCAGCCUGCUGCAGGUGGGGUACUUACCUGUGAGGCAGAGUUGGGCGUUGAGGCUUGCAGACUCACAGACACUGACGCUGCCAUUGCAGAAGAUCCACCAGAUGCUAUUGCUGGGCUCCAAGCAGAAUGGAUGCAGAUGAGUUCACUUGGGACUGUUGAUGCUCCAAACUUCAUUGUUGGGAACCCAUGGGAUGAUAAGCUGAUUUUCAAACUUUUAUCUGGGCUUUCUAAACCAGUGAGUUCCUAUCCAAAUACUUUUGAAUGGCAAUGUAAACUUCCAGCCAUCAAGCCCAAGACUGAAUUUCAAUUGGGUAAGAAUUAUUUGGAUAAUAUAACUUUAAAUUCUUGUUUCUCUAUGAGAAGUUGAUGGUAACGUGUGUGUGUGUGUGUGUGUGUGAUUCUCCUAUUUGCCCCCCAACCUCCAAUAGGGAGUUGUAUCUGUAAUACUAAACUGAUCAUUUUGUUAAGCCAUGAUUGUAGGAUUGUGCUUGCUGUUGGGACUAUAACUCCUAUAACUCAUAGAGGGCAAUUUGCCAAUAUCUAUUAAAAUUAAAAAUGCAUUUACUUUUAAAGCCAGCUAUCCACUUUUAAGGAUUUCCUAUAGAUAUUAUUAUAUACUUCUAUAGUAAAAUACUAUAGUAACAUUGGCAACAGAACAAGAAAGCUCACUCUGUACUGAUAGGGAAUGAGCUCCAAAACAUACCAUACUGUUAAAAGGGCAGAGCCGU
This 755-nucleotide long non-coding RNA is filed under the name Homo sapiens (human). RNAcentral's name for it is "non-protein coding lnc-RGPD6-3:1". The record is from RNAcentral. Lineage: Eukaryota; Metazoa; Chordata; Mammalia; Primates; Hominidae.